AGUGAACGCUGGCGGUAGGCCUAACACAUGCAAGUCGAACGGCAGCACAGUAAGAGCUUGCUCUUACGGGUGGCGAGUGGCGGACGGGUGAGGAAUACAUCGGAAUCUACUUUUUCGUGGGGGAUAACGUAGGGAAACUUACGCUAAUACCGCAUACGACCUACGGGUGAAAGCAGGGGAUCUUCGGACCUUGCGCGAUUGAAUGAGCCGAUGUCGGAUUAGCUAGUUGGCGGGGUAAAGGCCCACCAAGGCGACGAUCCGUAGCUGGUCUGAGAGGAUGAUCAGCCACCCUGGAACUGAGCACCGGUCCAGCCUCCUACGGGAGGCAGCAGUGGGGAAUAUUGGACAAUGGGCGAAAGCCUGAUCCAGCCAUACCGCGUGGGUGAAGAAGGCCUUCGGGUUGUAAAGCCCUUUUGUUGGGAAAGAAAAGCAGCAGGUUAAUACCCCGCUGUUCUGACGGUACCCAAAGAAUAAGCACCGGCUAACUUCGU
Molecule: ribosomal RNA, 491 nt
Filed under: uncultured bacterium
Lineage: Bacteria
Description: partial 16S ribosomal RNA
Rfam family: Bacterial small subunit ribosomal RNA
Source: RNAcentral